UCGUGUCCCACUCCGCCUCGUUCUCCUCCCUCGACAGCGCCGCACCUCCUCCCUCAUUCCUGCUCGUCCGGAUAGCCGCCGGCCGCCGCAUCCCUUCUCCCCCUUCCUCCUCCUUCCUCCUUCCCGCUGGCGCUGACGAGGGGGCCUCUCGCAUGGACGGCCGGGGCUUCAAACCAGGGGGGGCCAAGAAAGCCGGCCGGCGGCGGUCGGGGCGGGCGCGGAGAGGGCCGAUGCGGCGGCCGCGGGCGGGGCGGUGGCGGCCAAGGCAAGGGAGGAUGAGGUUGCAUCCAUCGGCGGCCGAUCCACCUGCGUGCCGUCACUGCUCACAUCCUUCCCCUAAUUUAUUUGCUUUCUCGAUCUCCAGCAGCAGCAGCAGCAGCGUCUCCAUGGACGCGGCGGCGUGACGGCUUCCAGGCACGGAUCCCCUCCUCCGCCUCCAUCCUCCACCUCUCCGGUCGCCCGGUUGCAACGCAGCAGCAGCUCCUUCCUACCUUCCAUGGACGAACUCGACGGAGACGCCGUCCAGCCCGACCACGGCCACGACUACCCCACGCACAAGAAAGGUAGUUAUUGUGAAUUGAUGUUCGCACUGAGGCCGGAGGCGAGAGGCGAGGGCACGAAGGUCGACGGCAAGUGCUCAGGAGAGAAGAGGAAGGCGGCGGUGGCUGCGGUUUACACGAGAGCCAGGUGACCUGCCCAGAAAGGUAGUUACAGUGAAUUGAUGUUCAUAUGAACUUCAAUGCUGUGACGUUUUUAUUAGAUCUGAGUUGCAAUCCUCAAUUUUUUUAGGUUUGAGUAGCAAUGUUCCUGCUCUACUAGCUAUGACAUUUUCCAUGUUUUUUCUUCUAAUAUCGUAUUGCCUCCAUGCUUAUGGGUUCAACUUGACAAGCUUUUUUCAUCUUACAUCCUGUUUUAAGCUCUGUUGAUGGUUGAUUUCUGCCAUGUUUAUGGAGGGAGAGGACGCCAAGUACUAGGAGAAGGAUCAGUUUAGCAAGUAGAGGCUGUAAUUCUCUUAUGAUUAUGGAUCUGAGGAUGAAGAGAAGAUAUGGGUUAACUUUCGGAGUGAUUGAGUUGGUCAAAAAAAUUGAAGCACAUCAAAGGGGCUUGUUGCUUGGCUGCUAUGGAGAAGGGUAUUCUUUGAAGGAGUUGUAGACCUUUUGGAUAUGCUUCAAUUUGGACACUUUUUCAGUAUGUAUAUGAUAUGGGCAGGAAAUGAAAAACUUAAUGUGGCUGGAGUUCUACGCGGAUUAAAUCUAAUUAUCCUUAUAUUUCAACUCCAAUGACUCGGCCUCACAUGUAGAAUGCGGUUUUGGGCAUGUGUUUCGGUUCAUUCGGUUUCGACGGAAUCAAAGGUGUUAGCUUUCAUGGCUAGGAUUUUUUUAGCAUAUUCAAAUCUGUAUUAGAAUAAGGUUUCCCCCUUGGAUGUUCCUUAUGUAUCCAUAUAUUAGAUUUUUUGUGUGGUUCAUUUGUUGCAAAUAUAUAAAUAAUAAUCUGAUUGACUAUAUGCAGAUUUGGUUUGAAAUCUUCAAGCAGUCUCUGACAAGUUGUAGGUGAAGAAGAUCAUGUCCUAGGAGUUAUAUGCACGUGGAGUACAUUUAUUGUAUGCAUUUUGUUUAGAAGUAUUCAGUUUCAUAGCAUAAUCAAGUGUUUUUCAAUACUCUCUCUCUCACACACACACAAAAUGUCUUUAAUUUCUGUUUUUUUAAUGUAUUGGCCUCUGAAUGAUCUGCACGGCAUAUAUCUAUAUCGCUGAAUGACCUCGACUUGUACCUUUGUGGUUUGCAAACACUAAAACAUGUGUUGCUACAGAGUUAUCUUAAUUUUAACGUUGAUCGGUGCAGGUGGGUUCUCAUGGUAGGAUUUGAUCCACUCGGAUAUCAAUGUCCUUGUCGGAGUUUGGGUACUGCACUUUAUAAUGCAAAGGAAUGGUAUAAACUAUAGCUGGUUCUUUCAUGUAGUAUGCCUUUUUCUAUAAUGUAAGUUAUGGAUGCGGUACUUCUUCGAAACCUUCAUAAUGCUUUUUGUCAUGCAACAACUUGCUAACAAGUCCUGGUCUGUUGCAGUUGAUUGCACAUGUGGAGGGCUUCUGGAUGCAUUUAUUGUCUCAUGUCACAAGGAUUUACAACUUUUACGAGAAUGCGGGUGUAGAGUAUUGAUAAUUCCAGAUGGCUCACUUCCUACAAUAGAGCACCCUACAGUACUAUCAAUUAUUCAGUCAGAGAACCACACUAUGCUGAAUAUAUUGGUGGAUCAGGUACAUCGAUAAGCACCCAAUGUUCAGUCAGAUGAAGAGAGUGAAAAUAUAUUGGUGGAUCAGGUACAUUGACAAGCACCCAAUGUUCAGUCAGAUGAAGAGAGUGAAAACAGCGUUUACUCUGAAUUUUCAGACAGAGUGGCGAUGCAGCUGGAAGUUUGAGGCACUGGAUUCCCCCUGACGGAGGAACAAUCAAGUUAAAUUUAGAUGCUUCAUUCUUUGCUGAGACUUGGAGGAGCUAU
Molecule: RNA transcript, 2496 nt
Organism: Triticum dicoccoides
Lineage: Eukaryota; Viridiplantae; Streptophyta; Magnoliopsida; Poales; Poaceae
Gene name: structural maintenance of chromosomes protein 6A-like
Exons: 9
Source: RefSeq, a predicted model, not a curated record